AACGAACGCUGGCGGCAUGCCUAACACAUGCAAGUCGAACGAGACCUUCGGGUCUAGUGGCGCACGGGUGCGUAACGCGUGGGAACCUGCACUUAGGUUCGGAAUAACUCAGAGAAAUUUGAGCUAAUACCGGAUGAUGUCUUCGGACCAAAGAUUUAUCGCCUUUAGAUGGGCCCGCGUUGGAUUAGCUAGUUGGUGGGGUAAAGGCCUACCAAGGCGACGAUCCAUAGCUGGUUUGAGAGGAUGAUCAGCCACACUGGGACUGAGACACGGCCCAGACUCCUACGGGAGGCAGCAGAGGGGAAUAUAGGACAAUGGGCGAAAGCCUGAUCCAGCAAUGCCGCGUGAGUGAUGAAGGCCUUAGGGUUGUAAAGCUCUUUUACCCGAGAUGAUAAUGACAGUAUCGGGAGAAUAAGCUCCGGCUAACUCCGUG
Molecule: ribosomal RNA, 433 nt
Filed under: uncultured bacterium
Lineage: Bacteria
Description: partial 16S ribosomal RNA
Rfam family: Bacterial small subunit ribosomal RNA
Source: RNAcentral